This 76-nucleotide transfer RNA is filed under the name Ignavibacteria bacterium. RNAcentral describes it as "tRNA-Ala". It matches the Rfam family "tRNA". From Rfam's summary of the family: Transfer RNA (tRNA) molecules are approximately 80 nucleotides in length. The record is from RNAcentral. Lineage: Bacteria; Pseudomonadati; Ignavibacteriota; Ignavibacteria.
GGGGCUGUAGCUCAGUUGGGAGAGCACCUGGUUUGCAACCAGGGGGUCGAGGGUUCGAAUCCCUUCAGCUCCACAA